UUAAGUUAUUAAGGGCGCACGGUGGAUGCCUUGGCACUAGAAGCCGAUGAAGGACGUUACUAACGACGAUAUGCUUUGGGGAGCUGUAAGUAAGCUUUGAUCCAGAGAUUUCCGAAUGGGGAAACCCAGCAUGAGUUAUGUCAUGUUAUCGAUAUGUGAAUACAUAGCAUAUCAGAAGGCACACCCGGAGAACUGAAACAUCUUAGUACCCGGAGGAAGAGAAAGAAAAUUCGAUUCCCUUAGUAGCGGCGAGCGAAACGGGAAGAGCCCAAACCAACAAGCUUGCUUGUUGGGGUUGUAGGACACUCUAUACGGAGUUACAAAGGACGACAUUAGACGAAUCAUCUGGAAAGAUGAAUCAAAGAAGGUAAUAAUCCUGUAGUCGAAAAUGUUGUCUCUCUUGAGUGGAUCCUGAGUACGACGGAGCACGUGAAAUUCCGUCGGAAUCUGGGAGGACCAUCUCCUAAGGCUAAAUACUCUCUAGUGACCGAUAGUGAACCAGUACCGUGAGGGAAAGGUGAAAAGCACCCCGGAAGGGGAGUGAAAUAGAACCUGAAACCGUGUGCUUACAAGUAGUCAGAGCCCGUUAAUGGGUGAUGGCGUGCCUUUUGUAGAAUGAACCGGCGAGUUACGAUUUGAUGCAAGGUUAAGCAGUAAAUGUGGAGCCGUAGCGAAAGCGAGUCUGAAUAGGGCGUUUAGUAUUUGGUCGUAGACCCGAAACCAGGUGAUCUACCCUUGGUCAGGUUGAAGUUCAGGUAACACUGAAUGGAGGACCGAACCGACUUACGUUGAAAAGUGAGCGGAUGAACUGAGGGUAGCGGAGAAAUUCCAAUCGAACCUGGAGAUAGCUGGUUCUCUCCGAAAUAGCUUUAGGGCUAGCCUCAAGUGAUGAUUAUUGGAGGUAGAGCACUGUUUGGACGAGGGGCCCCUCUCGGGUUACCGAAUUCAGACAAACUCCGAAUGCCAAUUAAUUUAACUUGGGAGUCAGAACAUGGGUGAUAAGGUCCGUGUUCGAAAGGGAAACAGCCCAGACCACCAGCUAAGGUCCCAAAAUAUAUGUUAAGUGGAAAAGGAUGUGGCGUUGCCCAGACAACUAGGAUGUUGGCUUAGAAGCAGCCAUCAUUUAAAGAGUGCGUAAUAGCUCACUAGUCGAGUGACACUGCGCCGAAAAUGUACCGGGGCUAAACAUAUUACCGAAGCUGUGGAUUGUCCUUUGGACAAUGGUAGGAGAGCGUUCUAAGGGCGUUGAAGCAUGAUCGUAAGGACAUGUGGAGCGCUUAGAAGUGAGAAUGCCGGUGUGAGUAGCGAAAGACGGGUGAGAAUCCCGUCCACCGAUUGACUAAGGUUUCCAGAGGAAGGCUCGUCCGCUCUGGGUUAGUCGGGUCCUAAGCUGAGGCCGACAGGCGUAGGCGAUGGAUAACAGGUUGAUAUUCCUGUACCACCUAUAAUCGUUUUAAUCGAUGGGGGGACGCAGUAGGAUAGGCGAAGCGUGCGAUUGGAUUGCACGUCUAAGCAGUAAGGCUGAGUAUUAGGCAAAUCCGGUACUCGUUAAGGCUGAGCUGUGAUGGGGAGAAGACAUUGUGUCUUCGAGUCGUUGAUUUCACACUGCCGAGAAAAGCCUCUAGAUAGAAAAUAGGUGCCCGUACCGCAAACCGACACAGGUAGUCAAGAUGAGAAUUCUAAGGUGAGCGAGCGAACUCUCGUUAAGGAACUCGGCAAAAUGACCCCGUAACUUCGGGAGAAGGGGUGCUCUUUAGGGUUAACGCCCAGAAGAGCCGCAGUGAAUAGGCCCAAGCGACUGUUUAUCAAAAACACAGGUCUCUGCUAAACCGUAAGGUGAUGUAUAGGGGCUGACGCCUGCCCGGUGCUGGAAGGUUAAGAGGAGUGGUUAGCUUCUGCGAAGCUACGAAUCGAAGCCCCAGUAAACGGCGGCCGUAACUAUAACGGUCCUAAGGUAGCGAAAUUCCUUGUCGGGUAAGUUCCGACCCGCACGAAAGGCGUAACGAUUUGGGCACUGUCUCAACGAGAGACUCGGUGAAAUCAUAGUACCUGUGAAGAUGCAGGUUACCCGCGACAGGACGGAAAGACCCCGUGGAGCUUUACUGUAGCCUGAUAUUGAAAUUCGGCACAGCUUGUACAGGAUAGGUAGGAGCCUUUGAAACGUGAGCGCUAGCUUACGUGGAGGCGCUGGUGGGAUACUACCCUAGCUGUGUUGGCUUUCUAACCCGCACCACUUAUCGUGGUGGGAGACAGUGUCAGGCGGGCAGUUUGACUGGGGCGGUCGCCUCCUAAAAGGUAACGGAGGCGCUCAAAGGUUCCCUCAGAAUGGUUGGAAAUCAUUCAUAGAGUGUAAAGGCAUAAGGGAGCUUGACU
Molecule: ribosomal RNA, 2373 nt
Filed under: Staphylococcus aureus M1428
Lineage: Bacteria; Bacillati; Bacillota; Bacilli; Caryophanales; Staphylococcaceae
Description: bacterial LSU rRNA
Rfam family: Bacterial large subunit ribosomal RNA
Source: RNAcentral